Long non-coding RNA from Oncorhynchus kisutch (coho salmon), 1036 nucleotides. RefSeq lists it as uncharacterized. The record is from RefSeq and is a predicted model, not a curated record. The transcript has 2 exons. NCBI's taxonomy places the organism in Eukaryota, Metazoa, Chordata, Actinopteri, Salmoniformes, Salmonidae.
UACAUGUAGUCAUGCUAAACAUGGACUCCUACAGGUACCUACCUGCCUGUGGUGCCAUUCAAAGAGAAUAUUAUACAGUAGGCCUCUGUCAUUUUCAGCUUUGCCAAAAUUACAGUUGUCAGUAUGGUACUUUUGAGUGUAAUGACCCAGGAUUAGAACAUCAGCUCAUGACGUCUGUGGAUCACAUGAAGGAGGACAAGUGAAAAGAAAGUCCAGGAGGGCCAGAUCAAAGGAAGGAAUGGAGGAGAAGGUGACAAGUGACAGUGAAGAGGAAGGGGAAGAUUACUACAGAAUGGAGGGAGAACGGAUGAAGAAAGCAAAAGCCGCCAUUGUGGCAAGAUUAUAAGCAAGAGAGGAGAAAACAGAGAGGAGUAAGGCGGCGAUGGACAGAAAGGAACAAGAGAUGGAGAUGACGAGGAUGAAGGAAAAGUGGGAGAAGUUCCGUAAACGCGAGGAGAUGGUCUUGGAGGGAUUGGAAGUGGUUCAGAGAAGAGAGCGAGCAGUUAAAGGAAGAGAGAGAGCGGAUUCAGAAGGAGACGGAGAACAUUCAAAAGGAGAAAAAAGGCAGAUUGCGAAAGGAAGCGAUGAUCUGAGGAGACCAAGAGUGUAGGCGGUGUCGUACAGGCAGACGUUGGAGAAAGAGGGGCUCAGGGAGGAGAGGUCGAUGAAGGAGCUAAUGGAGAUGCUACUUGAAAAGGAGUAGAUGCUCAAGGAGCGAGAGAAGUUUAAAGAAAAUAGGAAGAUAGAGGAUAAAAAUGUGAAGAGGGAAAGGAAGGUCAUUGACUUGGCACGUAUGUUUAUGAGUGAAGCGUUAAAGGACAUCGAAAAACAGUGGAAGAAGAGAGAAAAUGAAAGGGGGCCAUUGAGGAGGGAGAUAGAAAGGAUGCUUAAAGAGAAGGAGACAAUAAAGGAGAGGAGCAAGGAGGAAGGAGGAAGAGGGGCAAGAGGAGGAGAGCGAUACGAGUUAGUCAUCACUCAUUCUACUGAACCGCAACAUAAAAAAUAUGAUUUACAGCAUUAAACAAACGCAGCAUGA